UUGCUUUCACCUGUUAGAAUCAGAAACAAGUCAGGGCCUUUAGGUGUGCGAGUACGGGAACGGGAAUACCAUCUGUCUCUCCAACUGAUGUGUGAAGGAACGAGGGCAGUGCGGCUAGUGUUAUGCUUCGCAGUAUUUUGCAGUUUUUGGGCUCAAAGAGUGUUCUUUUAGGAAGAAUAUAGAGCCAAGAGUUAAGUGACUGAAACAUCUCAGUUCCUAAUUAGGCUUUCUACACAAGUUGGAAUGAUGAACUCUGCAAAAGUCAUAGUUUGAUGUUCUCCGGUCUGAUAAUCCACACAGCUCUUCAAAAUGUAUAUCCAUAUGCAGAUUGGGCCAGUCCUGCCACAAGUUAACUUCAAGUGCAGAAGAUGUAUGCUGCUGUUGGUACACCUUCGAUCCAGAAUUUGUGCUGCUUCUGGGCCACAGUUGGACAUCAAGAUGCUCUAAUAGCUAGCCAACCUCUUCAUUUAAAUAACACUAUAAAACCUUGAACAUGACACACUAUCACAAACAGAUCUGCAUCUGUCGGACAGAAACUGCUGCUGGACACUAUAUUAGAAGCAUAUAAUAUACAGGGUGUUACAAAAAGGUAUGGCCAAACUUUCAGGAAAAUUUCCUCACACACAAAUAAAGAAAAGAUGUUAUGUGGACAUGUGUUCGGAAACGCUUAAUUUCCAUGUUAGAGCUCAUUUUAGUUUCGUCAGUAUGUACUGUACUUCCUCCAUUCACCACCAUGAUUUCAUAUGGGAUAAUCUACCUGUGCUGCUAGAACAUGUGCCUUUACAAAUAUGACACAACAUGUGGUUCACACACAAUGGAGCUCCUGCACAUUUCAGGUGUAGUGUUUGUACGCUUCUCAACAACAGAUUCGGUGACAAAUGGAUUGGUAGAGAUGGACCAAUUCCAUGGCCUCCACGCUCUCCUGACCUCAACCCUCUUGACUUUCAUUUAUGGGGGCAUUUGAAAGCUCUUGUCUACGCAACCCCAGUACCAACUGUAGAGACUUUUCGUGCUCGCAUUGUGGAUGGCUGUGAUACAAUACGCCAUUCUCCAGGGCUGCAUCAGCACAUCAGGGAUUCCAUGCGACGGAGGGUGGAUGCAUGUAUCCUCGCUAACGGAGGACAUUUUGAACAUUUCCUGUAACAAAGUGUUUGAAGUCACGCUGGUACAUUCUGUUGCUGUGUGUUUCCAUUCCAUAAUUAAUGUGAUUUGAAGAGAAGUAAUAAAAUGAGCUGUAAUAUGGAAAGUAAGCAUUUCCGGACACAUGUCCAUAUAACAUAUUUUCUUUCUUUGUGUGUGAGGAAUGUUUCCUGAAAGUUUGGACAUACCUUUUUGUAACACCCUGUAGUGUGCCCCCACAGGGUUGCCUGUUCCAUAAUAAGCAACCAUGAAAGAUGCAUCUGCAGUCAAAUUCAAUAAUUCAUAUUUGUGUAUUAUGCUCUCUACAUAUGACUCAUUUGUUCAUCUCGCCAAUAUGUCGUAUGAUGUUUCAGCACAGACUGCAGCACCAGUUUUGUCUGAUGGUUAUCUGAUGCAUGUCAUUACAGAUAGGUCUAAUUAAUUAUCAUUACAUUCCACAUAUAUCAGUUUGGCAAGCUAUAUUUUAGUGUAACAAUCACCUCUGUUCAGUUCCCAAUGAACACUUUAGCUCUUGCAUAUCAAGGAUUAUUUCUGUGCCAAAAUUAUCAAAGCUAUAAGUUCAUUUGGCUCGUGCAUCUUCAAUAUCUGAUUGGACAUUUCCAUAUAAUGCAAUAACUGCCCCCCCUCCCCUCCAGUGAGAUAGCAGACUCUCCAAAAUGGUUAUUUCUAACAGCUUUUACUGGAAUACAGAACUUGUGAAAUCUUCUCCUUUUUGUUUCUGUAUUUGUUGAGACUUCUGUAAAUCACUUGCACUAGGAUUAGCAAAUAAUGUUUUCGAACUGUCACCAUAAAUUCCAGCACUGAGAACUGUGUGCAUUUUAAUAGUAGAAACCUGUAAAUCAUUGUUCUAUGUUAUAGCAGUAUUACUGGAAGUCCAAUGUGAUCAGUAGUUCUAUCAUGAUUUUCAGCUAUAUUUCUAGAGCAAAGGUGAAGUCUGCUUCCCUGCUACUUUUAUAUGGAGAACAAUACUAUGUUUUGAUCAAAUUAGUACAGGACUGUUCAAGUCAGUGUGCAAUCUUUUCAUCUUUAAUUACAUACAUUUAGCAAUACUUUGUCAACAGUCUCUUACAAGAGGGCCAAAUAAUGCCAAUAGAAACCAUUUAUAAUAGCAGAUAAUGGGCAUCAAACUCUUAGUCACUGACUUUAUUUAGAAUAGUAGUGGAAUGAAUCUUUCAUUUUGGAGUGGAAUGUAUGUUGUUAUAAACAUUCCCAAGAAAUGGAAAACUGUAUGGGGUACUGGAAUCAGUCUGCUUUUCAGUUCUAAUCAAUGAGGAAGUUUCUUGCAAGGUAGAGUGAGUGAGUGAGUGAGUGAGUG
Long non-coding RNA from Schistocerca gregaria, 2455 nucleotides. RefSeq lists it as uncharacterized. The record is from RefSeq and is a predicted model, not a curated record. The transcript has 3 exons. Lineage: Eukaryota; Metazoa; Arthropoda; Insecta; Orthoptera; Acrididae.